Molecule: ribosomal RNA, 466 nt
Filed under: uncultured bacterium
Lineage: Bacteria
Description: SSU rRNA
Rfam family: Bacterial small subunit ribosomal RNA
Source: RNAcentral
AGGAUUAACGCUGGCGGCGUGCCUAACACAUGCAAGUCGAACGAGGGGGGCAACCCCCGAGUGGCAGACGGGUGAGUAACGCGUGGUCAACCUACCCUAGAGUGGGGAAUAACUAGCCGAAAGGUUAGCUAAUACCGCAUGAUACGUUUUGGGACAUCCCAGGACGUUGAAAGGAGCAAUCCGCUCGAGGACGGGACCGCGUCCGAUUAGCUAGUUGGUGAGGUAACGGCCCACCAAGGCUCCGAUCGGUAGCUGGUUUGAGAGAGCGACCAGCCACACUGGGACUGAGAAACGGCCCAGACUCCUACGGGAGGCAGCAGUGAGGAAUUUUCCGCAAUGGGCGAAAGCCUGACGGAGCGACGCCGCGUGUGGGAAGAAGGCCUUCGGGUCGUAAACCACUGUCGAAGGGGACUAUACUGAAGGUACCCUUGGAGGAAGCCCCGGCUAACUACGCGCCAGCAGCCGC